GAUGAACGCUGGCGGCGUGCCUAAUACAUGCAAGUAGAACGCUGAAGGAAGGAGCUUGCUCUUUCCGGAUGAGUUGCGAACGGGUGAGUAACGCGUAGGUAACCUGCCUGGUAGCGGGGGAUAACUAUUGGAAACGAUAGCUAAUACCGCAUAACAGUAGAUGUUGCAUGAUAUCUACUUAAAAGGUGCAAUUGCACCACUACCAGAUGGACCUGCGUUGUAUUAGCUAGUUGGUGAGGUAACGGCUCACCAGGGCGACGAUACAUAGCCGACCUGAGAGGGUGAUCGGCCACACUGGGACUGAGACACGGCCCAGACUCCUACGGGAGGCAGCAGUAGGGAAUCUUCGGCAAUAGACGGAAGUCUGACCGAGCAACGCCGCGUGAGUGAAGAAGGUUUUCGGAUCGUAAAGCUCUGUUGUAAGAGAAGAACGAGUGUGAGAGUGGAAAGUUCACACUGUGACGGUAUCUUACCAGAAAGGGACGGCUAACUACGUG
This 497-nucleotide ribosomal RNA is filed under the name uncultured bacterium. RNAcentral's name for it is "partial 16S ribosomal RNA". It matches the Rfam family "Bacterial small subunit ribosomal RNA", at positions 28 to 507 of the family's 1533-position model. The record is from RNAcentral.